AUACGGAGGGUGCAAGCGUUACUCGGAAUCACUGGGCGUAAAGCGUACGUAGGCGGACUGAUCAGUUGGGGGUGAAAUCCCAGGGCUUAACCCUGGAACUGCCUUCAAUACUGUCAGUCUUGAGAUUGGAAGAGGUGAGUGGAAUUCCUAGUGUAGAGGUGAAAUUCAUAGAUAUUAGGAGGAACACCAGUGGCGAAGGCGGCUCACUGGUCCAAUACUGACGCUGAGGUACGAAAGCGUGGGGAGCAAACAGGAUUAGAAACCCUAGUAGUCC
RNAcentral lists this ribosomal RNA (274 nucleotides) under uncultured bacterium. Its description in RNAcentral is "partial 16S ribosomal RNA". It matches the Rfam family "Bacterial small subunit ribosomal RNA", at positions 523 to 796 of the family's 1533-position model. The record is from RNAcentral.